CGCGUAGGCGGUUUACACAGUCAGAUGUGAAAUUCCAGGGCUUAACCUUGGGGCUGCAUUUGAUACGUGUAGACUAGAGUUCUGUAGAGGGGGGUAGAAUUCCAGGUGUAGCGGUGAAAUGCGUAGAGAUCUGGAGGAAUACCGAUUGCGAAGGCAGCCCCCUGGACAGUGACUGACGCUCAUAUGCGAAAGCGUGGGGAUCAAACAGGAUUAGAUACCCCCGUA
This 225-nucleotide ribosomal RNA is filed under the name uncultured Thorsellia sp. RNAcentral describes it as "partial 16S ribosomal RNA". It matches the Rfam family "Bacterial small subunit ribosomal RNA", at positions 568 to 792 of the family's 1533-position model. Lineage: Bacteria; Pseudomonadati; Pseudomonadota; Gammaproteobacteria; Enterobacterales; Thorselliaceae. The record is from RNAcentral.